AAUCGUCUCUACGGCAAACCGUUACGAGUUGGCGGACAGCUGAGGGCGAGAACCCUGCGCCACGACAAAAGCGAAGUCGCUAAGCGGCAUCGGAAAGUCGAAACAUCACGAUUGGUUGGUAGAGGUUGGUAGGACUUCUUUUUAUGAGACAGUCUCGAAGACCUUAGACCAA
Molecule: non-coding RNA, 172 nt
Submitted as: unclassified sequences
Source: Rfam